This 500-nucleotide ribosomal RNA is filed under the name uncultured bacterium. Its description in RNAcentral is "partial 16S ribosomal RNA". It matches the Rfam family "Bacterial small subunit ribosomal RNA", at positions 30 to 523 of the family's 1533-position model. The record is from RNAcentral.
AUUGAACGCUGGCGGCAUGCUUUACACAUGCAAGUCGAACGGUAACAGGGAGCUUGCUCCGCUGACGAGUGGCGAACGGGUGAGUAAUAUAUCGGAACGUGCCCAAGAGUGGGGGAUAACGUAGCGAAAGUUACGCUAAUACCGCAUACGAUCCAAGGAUGAAAGCAGGGGACCUUCGGGACUUGUGCUCCUGGAGGGGCCGAUAUCUGAUUAGCUAGUUGGUGAGGUAAAGGCUCACCAAGGCGACGAUCAGUAGCUGGUCUGAGAGGACGACCAGCCACACUGGAACUGAGACACGGUCCAGACUCCUACGGGAGGCAGCUGUGGGGAAUUUUGGACAAUGGGGGCAACCCUGAUCCAGCAAUGCCGCGUGAGUGAAGAAGGCCUUCGGGUUGUAAAGCUCUUUUGUCAGGGAAGAAAAGGGUACGGCUAAUAUCCGUGCCUCAUGACGGUACCUGAAGAAUAAGCACCGGCUAACUACGUGCCAGCCGCCGCAGUAA